Molecule: ribosomal RNA, 500 nt
Filed under: uncultured bacterium
Lineage: Bacteria
Description: bacterial SSU rRNA
Rfam family: Bacterial small subunit ribosomal RNA
Source: RNAcentral
UAGAGUUUGAUCCUGGCUCAGGACGAACGCUGGCGGCGUGCUUAACACAUGCAAGUCGAACGGUGAAGCCCUUCGGGGUGGAUCAGUGGCGAACGGGUGAGUAACACGUGGGCAAUCUGCCCUGCACUCUGGGACAAGCCCUGGAAACGGGGUCUAAUACCGGAUAUGACCAUUGACCGCAUGGUUGGUGGUGUAAAGCUCCGGCGGUGCAGGAUGAGCCCGCGGCCUAUCAGCUUGUUGGUGGGGUGAUGGCCUACCAAGGCGACGACGGGUAGCCGGCCUGAGAGGGCGACCGGCCACACUGGGACUGAGACACGGCCCAGACUCCUACGGGAGGCAGCAGUGGGGAAUAUUGCACAAUGGGCGCAAGCCUGAUGCAGCGACGCCGCGUGAGGGAUGACGGCCUUCGGGUUGUAAACCUCUUUCAGCAGGGAAGAAGCGCAAGUGACGGUACCUGCAGAAGAAGCACCGGCUAACUACGUGCCAGCAGCCCCGGUCAA